GAUGAACGCUGGCGGCGUGCCUAAUACAUGCAAGUCGAGCGAACAGACGAGGAGCUUGCUCCUCUGACGUUAGCGGCGGACGGGUGAGUAACACGUGGAUAACCUACCUAUAAGACUGGGAUAACUUCGGGAAACCGGAGCUAAUACCGGAUAAUAUAUUGAACCGCAUGGUUCAAUAGUGAAAGACGGUUUUGCUGUCACUUAUAGAUGGAUCCGCGCCGCAUUAGCUAGUUGGUAAGGUAACGGCCUACCAAGGCAACGAUGCGUAGCCGACCUGAGAGAGUGAUAGGCCACACUGGAACUGAGACACGGUCCAGACUCCUACGGGGGGCAGCAGUAGGGAAUCUUCCGCAAUGGGCGAAAGCCUGACGGAGCAACGCCGCGUGAGUGAUGAAGGUCUUCGGAUCGUAAAACUCUGUUAUUAGGGAAGAACAAAUGUGUAAGUAACUAUGCACGUCUUGACGGUACCUAAUCAGAAAGCCACGGCUAACUACGUG
This 497-nucleotide ribosomal RNA is filed under the name uncultured bacterium. RNAcentral describes it as "partial 16S ribosomal RNA". It matches the Rfam family "Bacterial small subunit ribosomal RNA", at positions 28 to 507 of the family's 1533-position model. The record is from RNAcentral.